GGAAAAAUGGAGAGAGUUUUAUCUUUCCUGCCUUAUCUGGAGGGGAAGAUCUUGUGUGAAGGAGAACCGAUUUCCAUUCCAGUUUGUAUUAUUGUAAGCAAUGAAUUCACAAAUGAAGCAGCUCACAUUACAGCUUUCCCAGUACUGAUUUUUGAAUGAAGGCAUCCUGAAACAUCAUAGGAAACAUGGUUGCACUCCCACAACUGAGAGAUAUGUACAUAACCUCCAUAAUGAUGUAUUGGAUUUGCUAAUACUUCAGGAAGAACUCUUUGACCGUUAAACUAAUUGAAAACAGGAAGUACUUCCACAAGAUCACCAAGACAGAGAACGAAAACAAAUUAAAACAAGGCAGACCAAAGAUACCUGGACCAAGAACUUACCGUCACUGAAAAUUCAUAAAAAAAAAUUGAUUUCAAAGACCAGGACUACUUUUGAGCAAUUACAUAAGUAAUUGACAUCCACACCAAUUUCAGGAAGACUUGAGGAUGUUUUACCACUCUCUGAUAUUGAAGAUGUUAAUCAGUCUUAAUGUUUCGUCAUUUUCAUAUAGGAACAAGGUACUCAUCAUGGAUUCUCCCUGUCUUCCAUACUAUUGUUCUUGCCAUACAGCCACUAUCUAGGUAAAUCAGAGGCUAACAGAGGGGUACCAUGGAAGUGAGGACACUUAACAUAUGUUGGCAAUUGCCUUUCAGUCCUAUGAAUGAUUGUCAAGCAUAUUCUACUGGAUGACUUCUCUGGGCUAUCAAGACUCAUGGAGAUUAUUUCCAAAACUGAUUUUUUUCAGGUGAAUUGGGUCACUAAGGUGACUAACAAGGAGGUGACAGUGUUUCUCUUUUCUUGAUGCAAGAAACUACUUAAUGUCUAUGUAUUAUGUCAUAUCACUCUCAGAGUUCCAUUCUGGAACUUAAUUAUAAUCCUUUUUGUUGAUGUAUUUGUUUUAUUGUUUACCUUUUUCAGGAGUGCCUUACUAAAGAGAUUGCUACCUGGUCUAAUUGUUCCUGCCAACUAAGUAAAGAUUUAAUGCCUUAGA
Long non-coding RNA from Protopterus annectens (West African lungfish), 1030 nucleotides. RefSeq lists it as uncharacterized. Lineage: Eukaryota; Metazoa; Chordata; Ceratodontiformes; Protopteridae. The transcript has 4 exons. The record is from RefSeq and is a predicted model, not a curated record.